RNAcentral lists this microRNA precursor (100 nucleotides) under Corchorus olitorius. RNAcentral's name for it is "MIR2275 microRNA precursor family". It matches the Rfam family "MIR2275 microRNA precursor family". The record is from Rfam by way of RNAcentral. Lineage: Eukaryota; Viridiplantae; Streptophyta; Magnoliopsida; Malvales; Malvaceae.
AUGUUGUAUGUGAGAAUUGGAGAAAACCAUACAAAAAUUUAUGCCCAAACGGCUCUUUGAUUUAAUUGUAUGGUUUUCUCCAAUAUCUCAUCUCCAACCU